Molecule: ribosomal RNA, 484 nt
Filed under: uncultured bacterium
Lineage: Bacteria
Description: partial 16S ribosomal RNA
Rfam family: Bacterial small subunit ribosomal RNA
Source: RNAcentral
GAUUAACGCUAGCGGCAGGCAUAAUACAUGCAAGUUGAACGGCAGCACAGGUAGCAAUACUGGGUGGCGAGUGGCGCACGGGUGCGUAACACGUAUGCAACCUACCCUAUACAGGCGAAUAACCUUUAGAAAUGAGGGCUAAUACGCCGUAGUAUUACAGAUGGGCAUCUAUUUGUUAUUAAAUAUUUAUCGGUAUAGGAUGGGUAUGCGUGCAAUUAGUUAGUUGGUAAGGUAACGGCUUACCAGGACGAGGAUGGGUAGGGGAUCUGAGAGGACUUACCCCCACACUGGUACUGAGACACUGACCAGACUGCUACGGGAGGCAGCAGUAAGGAAUAUUGGGCAAUGGCCGCGAGGCUGACCCAGCCAUGCCGCGUGCAGGAAGACGGCCUUAGGGGUUGUAAACUGCUUUUAUACGGGAAUAAUAGAGUGUACGCGUACAUUUAUGCAAGUAUUGUAUGAAUAAGCAUCGGCUAACUCCGUG